RNAcentral lists this small nucleolar RNA (138 nucleotides) under Ornithorhynchus anatinus (platypus). The record is from RNAcentral. Lineage: Eukaryota; Metazoa; Chordata; Mammalia; Monotremata; Ornithorhynchidae.
CCCCUCCCAGGGCUGCACCUGGAGAGUUUCCAGUCCUCUACCAGUCUUGGCUAUGGGAGGGAGAGUCAAGCAGAGGCCUGUCCAUUCCAUUUCUAGCAUGGCCAGUGGCUAGUGAGUGGCAGGCAAUCUGUUACAAAU